RNAcentral lists this non-coding RNA (31 nucleotides) under Homo sapiens (human). Lineage: Eukaryota; Metazoa; Chordata; Mammalia; Primates; Hominidae. The record is from RNAcentral. RNAcentral also lists the same sequence under 1 other name.
CGCACGUGUUAGGACCCGAAAGAUGGUGAAC